Molecule: long non-coding RNA, 448 nt
Organism: Monodelphis domestica (gray short-tailed opossum)
Lineage: Eukaryota; Metazoa; Chordata; Mammalia; Didelphimorphia; Didelphidae
Source: RefSeq, a predicted model, not a curated record
GUUAUAUAAAGUCUUCUGAAAUAAUAACAGAACCUGAAUAAAUGAACCUUCCAUUUAAUCAUUCCCUGCUAUCCUCACAUCAAUUGUAACCAAACUUGAAUGACCUGACUUUUGAUUUGUGACCAUGAUGAUCAUGUCCUUUCUUAACAAUGGCAUGGAUUGUGACAUGGUUCCUAUCUCUGACUAUUCAGUGAGAAGGGAACAUUCAAUUCACUCUAUUACAAAGGAGAAAGGCAACUGUAGAUGAAGAAAAGAUCCAGUAAAUCAAAGUUAAAUGGGACUGAAAUAAUUCUAUGCUAAAAGAAGAAGAUACACUGGAAGAAACAGAAUUGCAAAAAGAGCAUGGACAACUGGAUUAGAUUAUCAUUAACAUGUUUGGUGACUCAGUGGGUUGAGAGCAAGCUGUAGAGAUAGGAUGUUAUUGGUUCAAAUAUGAUCUCCGACACUU